GGGUGUGACUGCGUACCUUUUGUAUAAUGGGUCAGCGACUUAUAUUCUGUAGCAAGGUUAACCGAAUAGGGGAGCCGGAGGGAAACCGAGUCUUAAUUGGGCGUUAAGUUGCAGGGUAUAGACCCGAAACCCGGUGAUCUAGCCAUGGGCAGGUUGAAGGUUGGGUAACACUAACUGGAGGACCGAACCGACUAAUGUUGAAAAAUUAGCGGAUGACCUGUGGCUGGGGGUGAAAGGCCAAUCAAACCGGGAGAUAGCUGGUUCUCCCCGAAAGCUAUUUAGGUAGCGCCUCGUGAAUUCAUCUCCGGGGGUAGAGCACUGUUUCGGCUAGGGGGCCAUCCCGGCUUACCAACCCGAUGCAAACUGCGAAUACCGGAGAAUGUUAUCACGGGAGACACACGGCGGGUGCUAACGUCCGUCGUGAAGAGGGAAACAACCCAGACCGCCAGCUAAGGUCCCAAAGUCAUGGUUAAGUGGGAAACGAUGUGGGAAGGCCCAGACAGCCAGGAUGUUGGCUUAGAAGCAGCCAUCAUUUAAAGAAAGCGUAAUAGCUCACUGGUCGAGUCGGCCUGCGCGGAAGAUGUAACGGGGCUAAACCAU
RNAcentral lists this ribosomal RNA (600 nucleotides) under Salmonella enterica. Its description in RNAcentral is "partial 23S ribosomal RNA". It matches the Rfam family "Bacterial large subunit ribosomal RNA", at positions 589 to 1190 of the family's 2925-position model. The record is from RNAcentral. Lineage: Bacteria; Pseudomonadati; Pseudomonadota; Gammaproteobacteria; Enterobacterales; Enterobacteriaceae. RNAcentral also lists the same sequence under 1 other name.